AGUCGAGGGGUAUUAGGAGCUUGCUCCUAAGAGACCGGCGCACGGGUGCGUAACGCGUAUGCAAUCUACCUUAUACAGGGGAAUAGCCCAGAGAAAUUUGGAUUAAUGCCCCAUGGUAUUAUAGAGUGGCAUCACUUUAUAAUUAAAGUUCCAACGGUAUAAGAUGAGCAUGCGUCCCAUUAGUUAGUUGGUAAGGUAACGGCUUACCAAGACAAUGAUGGGUAGGGGUCCUGAGAGGGAGAUCCCCCACACUGGUACUGAGACACGGACCAGACUCCUACGGGAGGCAGCAGUGAGGAAUAUUGGACAAUGGGCGCAAGCCUGAUCCAGCCAUGCCGCGUGCAGGAAGACGGUCCUAUGGAUUGUAAACUGCUUUUAUACAGGAAGAAACAACUCUACGUGUAGAGUCUUGACGGUACUGUAGGAAUAAGGAUCGGCUAACUCCGUGCCAGCAGCCGCGGUAAUACGGAGGAUCCAAGCGUUAUCCGGAAUCAUUGGGUUUAAAGGGUCCGUAGGCGGUCUUAUAAGUCAGUGGUGAAAUCUCCUAGCUCAACUAGGAAACUGCCAUUGAUACUGUAAGACUUGAAUUUUUGUGAAGUAACUAGAAUAUGUAGUGUAGCGGUGAAAUGCUUAGAUAUUACAUGGAAUACCAAUUGCGAAGGCAGGUUACUAACAAACGAUUGACGCUGAUGGACGAAAGCGUGGGGAGCGAACAGGAUUAGAUACCCUGGUAGUCCACGCCGUANACGAUGGAUACUAGCUGUUCGGAGCAAUCUGAGUGGCUAAGCGAAAGUGAUAAGUAUCCCACCUGGGGAGUACGCACGCAAGUGUGA
This 833-nucleotide ribosomal RNA is filed under the name uncultured bacterium. RNAcentral's name for it is "SSU rRNA". It matches the Rfam family "Bacterial small subunit ribosomal RNA", at positions 60 to 897 of the family's 1533-position model. The record is from RNAcentral.